This is an RNA transcript of Mastomys coucha (southern multimammate mouse), 1027 nucleotides long. It is a transcript of the gene named U1 small nuclear ribonucleoprotein A pseudogene, with no coding region annotated. The record is from RefSeq and is a predicted model, not a curated record. The transcript has a single exon. NCBI's taxonomy places the organism in Eukaryota, Metazoa, Chordata, Mammalia, Rodentia, Muridae.
AUGCCCGCCAAGGUACGCUGCACAGGCACACAGCUUUCUUCCCUGGCUUCGGCUUAUCCCUUCCCCGAGCUAAUCACGGCGCACAAACUCAAGAAGUCCCUGUAUGCCAUCUUCUCCCAGUUUGGCCAGAUCCUGGAUAUCCUGGUGUCUUGGAGCCUGAAGAUGAGGGGCCAGGCCUUCGUCAUCUUCAAGGAGGUCAGCAGUGCCACCAAUGCCCUGCGCUCCAUGCAGGGCUUCCCUUUAUAUGACAAGCCCAUGCGUAUCCAGUAUGCAAAGACUGACUCAGACAUCAUUGCCAAGAUGAAGGGCACCUUUGUGGAGAGAGAUCGAAAACGGGAGAAGAGGAAGCCCAAGAGUCAGGAGACACCUGCUGCCAAAAAGGCUGUUCAGGGCCGGGCAGCUGCCCCAGUAGUGGGCGCUGUCCAGCCUGUACCGGGCAUGCCACCGAUGACUCAGGCACCCCGCAUCAUGCACCACAUGCCAGGACAGCCUCCCUACAUGCCACCACCUGGCAUGAUUCCGCCACCAGGCCUCGCUCCUGGCCAGAUUCCCCCUGGGGCCAUGCCCCCACAGCAGCUCAUGCCUGGGCAGAUGCCACCUGCCCAGCCUCUCUCCGAGAAUCCACCCAAUCACAUCCUGUUCCUCACCAACCUGCCUGAGGAGACCAAGGAGCUCAUGCUCUCUAUGCUUUUCAACCAGUUCCCUGGCUUCAAGGAGGUGCAUCUGCUCCCUGGGCGCCAUGACAUCGCCUUCCUGGAGUUUGACAAUGAAGUGCAGGCUGGGGCAGCACGAGAUGCCCUGCAAGGCUUUAAGAUCACACAAAACAAUGCUAUGAAGAUCUCUUUUGCAAAGAAGUAGCGCCUUCCCCUACAGUGUCCCAGUCCCCAUUCUGAGGCUGCCCCUUCCCCCUGUCCUUUGGCUCAGUCCCUGAAGGUAAGGCCCCCUUGGGGGCCUUCUCAGAGCCCUGUGUGAGUGUGUGGUUGCCACACAGCAUUGUACCCAGAGUCUGUCCCCAGACAUUGCACCU